ACGAAUUCUGUCAGUUGGUUGAUGCUGGUGUCUUAGGAUGCAUGUGCUCGCCUUCUGCAUUUUUCUUAUCCAUACACCUGUGCACCUCUGAGGGGGCUUGAUGGCGUUCGGUCAAACGGACGUGGUUGGCCCUUCUCUCUUUCACAUACACUAUUUUGAUCUAUGAACGUGAUUGAGCCGCAAGGCCAUAAACUUAAAUA
RNAcentral lists this unclassified non-coding RNA (200 nucleotides) under uncultured fungus. RNAcentral's name for it is "sequence contains ITS1, 5.8S rRNA gene". The record is from RNAcentral. Lineage: Eukaryota; Fungi.